RNAcentral lists this ribosomal RNA (233 nucleotides) under uncultured bacterium. RNAcentral's name for it is "partial 16S ribosomal RNA". It matches the Rfam family "Bacterial small subunit ribosomal RNA", at positions 524 to 755 of the family's 1533-position model. The record is from RNAcentral.
UACGUAGGUGACUAGCGUUGUCCGGAUUUACUGGGCGUAAAGAGCGCGCAGGCGGUCGUUCAAGUCGAGUGUGAAAGCCCCCGGCUCAACUGGGGAGGGUCAUUCGAUACUGAUCGACUCGAAGGCAGGAGAGGGAAGCGGAAUUCCCGGUGUAGUGGUGAAAUGCGUAGAUAUCGGGAGGAACACCAGUGGCGAAGGCGGCUUGACCAGAACGCGCUCGACGGUGAGGGAUG